Hevea brasiliensis (rubber tree) is the source of this 703-nucleotide long non-coding RNA. RefSeq lists it as uncharacterized. Lineage: Eukaryota; Viridiplantae; Streptophyta; Magnoliopsida; Malpighiales; Euphorbiaceae. The record is from RefSeq and is a predicted model, not a curated record. The transcript is spliced from 2 exons.
UUGUGAGUUCUCUUAGUCUAUCUUCUCUCUGCAAAAGGAGUAGUCUGUUAACCUGUAUUUAAAAGAGACUCACCAAGAACUUAAUCAUGGAAGUUUCCUUCUCAAUUGUCUCUGCUUGGACAACUUCUUUAAGGGGUUAAGCUUUUUUGGACUUAUGGAAGAGUACUAAUGAUUGAUUCCGCUUUUCGACAGUAGGGGCAUGUGUUUUCUAUUAAGCUGUUUAAGCCUUUUGUCUCUUCCCUAUAUUUUAAACUAAUCUAGGUGAACUAUGAUUCUGUUCAUUCUGAGGCCUUUUAAUUGUGAGAAGAGGGGUUCUAUUUAAAGGCUUGUGGGUUGAUCAAGUGUAAGAGGUCUUCCUGUUCAAGCUCUAGUCAGUACUUACAAAGUUUGAAGAAUAAAAAUAACUUAACAUUUGUGUCCAAUGAGCCACUUAAAAAUAGGCGGAAGGACCAUGAUGAAGCCGAGAUUGAACGCAGAUAGGAGAUGAAGCCCAAAAGCAGUGGAGUGAACAAGAAUCUUGUUGAUUUCCAGUUAUGCCAGAUCAAAGUUCUGAUAACAUCUGUAGACUAGUAGUUUAAGUCACUUUGAUGUCAAAGAAUUGCUGAUCACCAUGAAAUUAGAUUGAAUUACUGAUCAGUUUGAUGUUUCUUACAUAGGUGUUAUACAUUUAAGACAUUUUCUUUGAUUUCUAUUUCUAUGUGCC